This 4422-nucleotide ribosomal RNA is filed under the name Triticum aestivum (bread wheat). RNAcentral's name for it is "partial small subunit ribosomal RNA". The record is from RNAcentral. Lineage: Eukaryota; Viridiplantae; Streptophyta; Magnoliopsida; Poales; Poaceae.
GUCGUGCACCCACGAGCUCGUCUAACCGCCUCCAGGACUGCUUGCUCCAGCCGCUGCUAGCUCUGGGCGGCGAGCGGAACGGUGGUGGUGUCGACGAGGGAGACUCUUCCCCUUGGUGCCCUCGGCUCCUCCCAGCAAGUCGCCACCUCUCUUCUCCUCAGUUAUGGCUGACUAGGAACACACGGCAGCGACCAUAGGAGGGCAGAGCUUCGGAGAUACACCGGGAGCCUGGAAGAAGAAGGUCAUCGGUCGUCUCGGAUAAGCCUGGAUAUGGGAGAAAACAGCAGCAUGAAACUCCAGUUGCUUGACGCUAUUACAAACAAUUUUGGAGAGGAGCAUAAAGUUGGCAGUGGCACGUAUGGGGAUGUUUACAAGGUGGUGCUUGAUAAUGGGGCCUAUAUUGCUCUGAAGAAGCUUCAUCAAUUACAAGGAUUUGAUGAUAACCAAUUUCAAAGUGAAUUCCGUAACCUUGUCAAGGUCUCUCACAAAAACAUUGUACGCAUAACUGGCUACUGCCUCGAUUGUCGGAGUAAAGGCCUGUUCGUCAAUCCACCGAUCCGAGAAAUACGAGAAUCUACGCAGCGUCUCUUUCUCCACUCCCUAUUUUCAACUGAAGCUCGGGCCGCUCCGGGAGCGGAGUCGUGCGGAGCGGCGAGACUCCGAACAGGCCUUAAAUACAUGGAGCACAAGGGGGAACUUGUUUUUGCUCAAAUAAUGGAGAGAGUUUUCCGCGUCGAGUAUAUGCAUGGCGGGAGCCUCGAUAAACAUAUUGCAGGUAUAUAUGGUUUAGUAGUUUCACAUGUCUAACAAAUAUGACCAUUGUUUCCUUCAUAUUGCAGAUGAAUCUUGUGAACUUGAUUGGCCCAUAUGUUACAAAAUCAUUAAAGGGACGUGCGAAGGGUUAAAUCACCUUCACACCAAGCAGGAAAAGCCCAUUUUCCAUCUGGAUUUAAAGCCUUCUAACAUAUUGCUGGAUGAGAACAUGACGCCCAAAAUUUCAGAUCUUGGUUUGUCCAUACUUGUUUCUUCGACAAAAACACACAAAACAGAGAUACUCAAAGGCACACAAGGGUACAUGCCGCCAGAAUACAGAGAUGGUGGCUUGGUAUCCAACAAGUUUGACGUGUUCAGUUUGGGCAUCAUAAUUAUAAAAACAGUGGCUGGCAAUAUGGGCUACUUCCGCUAUUCUGAAAUGUCUCCCAAAGAUUUUAUUGAGUUUGUAAGUGAAAAUUGGAUGAAGAGGUGGCAGGCAAUGCCGGGUUACUAUUCAUCACACGAAAUAGACAUCCUAACAGUGAUUACAUGUAUUGAGACUGCUUUAAGAUGUGUGGAGACCGACCAAGAAAAGAGACCCUGCAUAGAGGAUAUUGUCCAUGAACUGGAUGAACUAGAUGCUGAGAUUAAGAGAAUAAGGUUACUAGCUCCUGAUCCUAUGCAGAUUCUCUUGAGUAAUCAAGGACCUGGCAUGGAUUUUCCAAAAAUUUCUAGGCUAUGUAUGGCCCAUAACUUGGCCCAAUAUAAGCGCAUCCUGGAUUUUAAAUUCAGUUUGAUUGAAGCAAUUACAAACGGGUUUUCAGAUGAUCAGAAAAUUGGGAGUGAUUGGUAUGGAGAUGUUUACAGGGCAUUGUAUAACGGGGAAGAGAUUGUUGUGAAGAAGCUUCAUUCCUUGGAGGGACUUGAUGACAAAGAAUUUGAGAAUGAAAUGCAUAUCCUUACCAAGGUCCAUCACAAAAAUGUUAGUCGGUUAAUUGGCUACUGCUACAAAACAUGCCUUAUAAAUGUUGAGCACAAUGAGGAACAUGCUUCCUCAGUGGCAACAGAGCGAGUCCUAUGCUUUGAAUAUACAAAAAGUGGAAGCCUUGAUAAACAUAUUGCAGACGAACCUUGCCGACUUGAUUGGUCCACACUUUACAAAAUUAUUAAAGGGACUUGUGAGGGCUUAAAUCACCUUCUCAGUGCACAGCAAAAACCUAUUCUCCAUCUAGACUUGACACCUGCUAACAUUUUUCUGGUUAAUGGCAAGACACCUAAAAUUAUAGGUUUUGGUUUGUGGAGACUUAUUGAUUCGGCAAAAAUGCAUCAAACAGAGAUCUUCAAAGAAACACACGGGUACAUGCCACCGGAAUAUGUCGACACUGGCUUUAUAUCAAACAAGUUUGACGUGUUCAGUUUGGGCGCCAUAAUUAUAAAGCUGAUGGCCGGAAAUAUGGGCUACUCUCGUUGUUUCGAAAUGUCUCACAAAGAGUUUAUUCAACAUGUUAGUGACAAUUGGACGAAAAGGUUGCAUGCAAUGCCAGGAUACUCACCAUACGAAAUAGGCAUCCUACGAGUGAGUACAUGUGUUGAGAUUGCAUUAAGAUGUGUGGACAACGACCGAGAGAAAAGGCCAUGUAUAGAAGACAUUGUUCAUAAACUGGGGGAACUAGAAGCUAGGAUUAAGACAAUAAUGUUACUACCUCAUGAUCAUAGGCGGGGUCUCUUGACUAACCUGGGCCCUGUCCCGUACUUUCGAAAACAUAUCAGGCUAUAUAUGUCCCACAACUUGGCCCAAGAUGGAGCAGUUACAGGGUAUAAAUCUAAUCGGCUUAGGCUUGAUUCUCAGUCAGGCUCCACUAGUACUACUCAUGGACGUAAGUCAGAAGACCCAAGUCUCCAGACCGGAUGCAUUCCACACCAUAUGUCAUUACAGCAUUUGAAAGACAUCACAAACAAUUUCUCUGAUGAUCGAAUAAUUGGUAGAGGUGGGUUUUCUGUGGUAUAUAAGGGAAUACAACCAAGUGAGGAAAUGGUUGCAGUGAAGAAGUUUGUGCAACCAACGAGCUCACAGGAGGAAUUCGAGAACGAGCUUAAACUCCUUAUGGAACUGAAGCACCCAAAUAUAGUGCAACUUGCAGGCUACUGCUAUGAAACGCGGAAACUACAUAUGUUUCAUGAAGGAGAAUACAUUUUUGCUGAGGACACUCAAACUUUGCUCUGUUUAGAAUGUCUGCCUAAUGGAAGUCUUGAGAACUAUAUUUCAGAUGCAUCUUCUAGACUUCAUUGGUGCACACGCUACAAAAUAAUUGAGGGGAUUUGUUGUGGUCUACAAUACCUUCAUGAGCAAUCUAAAGAUCCCAUUCUUCAUUUGGACCUAAAACCCGCGAACAUAUUGCUUGAUAAAAAUAUGUUACCAAAAAUUACAGACUUUGGUCUGUCAAGACUGUUUGAUCAAAGCCAAACUAUUCAUACUGCACGUACUUGUGGAACACUAGGUUACAUGGCACGAGAAUUUCUACAAGGUAUAAUCACACCUAUGUCAGACAUAUUCAGUUUGGGUGUAAUAAUUUUGGAGGUAAUAACGGGUCACAAGGGGUACCCAGAUGAUAUUAGAACAUCUUCCAAGAUCUUCAUCGAGCCCGAACUUCAAAAAUGGAGAAAUGUGCUGCAAAAUGAACCAGGGUAUAGAUCAAUCGAAAAGGAUUGCCAACAAAUAAAAAGAUGCAUUCAGAUAGGCCUAAUCUGCGUGAAUCAUGACCGGACCAAAAGGCCUACAAUGAAGAAAAUUAUCGAUAUGCUUCAAGGCUUGGAAAGUAUGAAUUGGCACAUUAGCAACGAGUUAUCAAGCCAUGACAUCCAGCCGGAGGUUUAGCUCAGCGAAGGAGGUCUUCACAUAUCCGCUGCUUCUACCGUCUUCCUGUUAUUCGUUCGACAGGGCUUUGGAUCUCCGUUCAUGCUACAUUGCAAUUGGCGCUUAUGUUUGACAGCCGGCUAUCCAAGCUAUCAAUUUGUUCUAGCUAGUGCAUAUCACAUAUCUGAAUUUUUUGCUGGUUCCUGGAGACAUAUGCAGUACUACCUACGGACAUGGUUGCGACAUAAGGGUGGAAGGCAUCAAAGUCUUUGGGAGCUGGUGUAACUCAAUUAUCAGCACCUGUUAAUUAGGCCGAGAGUCGGAAUAAGAAAUCAGUAGGCAAGGGGAACAAGAAAUCUGUUGCCGGAGCUGUACAUAAUAGCGGUUAAUCCAAUACCUUUGGACUUUGGUAUAUGCAUAGUCUGUAAGUAACAAACAUUUAUCUCGCUGCACCGGAUCAAAACCCCCAUCUGCUACGUCACCUAGAUGUUCUAGCCCAUCAGACCUGAACCUGGGUCGCCGUCGUGUGGGCGCCGGUGUUGUUGUGCGUGAUCAUGGCAGAUUUUAUUUUUGGACGGGCUGUCACUGCUCGCUACUCUUUUGAGAACGUCUGUAACAUUGAUCUUGUUGAAGCCUGGGCGGUAUGGCAUGCUGUACUUUCUGCGAAAGAUUCAGGAUUUGACAGGGUCAUCUUAGCUUCAGACUGUCUUUCUUCUUUCAAGGGCUGGCAAAUGUAUACGAGCAGAGAGGGUUUGAGCUCUCAUCACUCAUGUUCUACCAGUACAGUUUUAUUUUGGCAUAAAAAUGCUCCUGAC